GAUAAACGCUGGCGGCGUGCCUAACACAUGCAAGUCGAACGUCCUCUUUUGCCUUCGCGAGAAGGGGAGAGAGGGAGUGGCGGACGGGUGAGUAACACGUGGGUACCUACCCUGGGGUGAGGAAUACCGGCGAGAAAUCGCCGACAAGACCGCAUAGGCUCUUUCUUGCACACGUAAAAGAGAGCAAAGCCGAAAGGUGCCCUGGGAUGGGCCUGCGGCCGAUUAGCUAGUUGGCGAGGUAAGAGCUCCCCAACGGCGACGAUCGGUAGCUGGUCUGAGAGGACGAAC
This 288-nucleotide ribosomal RNA is filed under the name uncultured bacterium. RNAcentral describes it as "partial 16S ribosomal RNA". It matches the Rfam family "Bacterial small subunit ribosomal RNA", at positions 28 to 305 of the family's 1533-position model. The record is from RNAcentral.